UAGGGAAUCUUCGGCAAUGGGGGCAACCCUGACCGAGCAACGCCGCGUGAGUGAAGAAGGUUUUCGGAUCGUAAAGCUCUGUUGUAAGUCAAGAACGAGUGUGAGAGUGGAAAGUUCACACUGUGACGGUAGCUUACCAGAAAGGGACGGCUAACUACGUGCCAGCAGCCGCGGUAAUACGUAGGUCCCGAGCGUUGUCCGGAUUUAUUGGGCGUAAAGCGAGCGCAGGCGGUUCGAUAAGUCUGAAGUUAAAGGCUGUGGCUCAACCAUAGUUCGCUUUGGAAACUGUCAAACUUGAGUGCAGAAGGGGAGAGUGGAAUUCCAUGUGUAGCGGUGAAAUGCGUAGAUAUAUGGAGGAACACCGGUGGCGAAAGCGGCUCUCUGGUCUGUAACUGACGCUGAGGCUCGAAAGCGUGGGGAGCGAACAGGAUUAGAUACCCUGGUAGUCCACGCCGUAAACGAUGAGUGCUAGGUGUUGGGUCCUUUCCGGGAUUCAGUGCCGCAGCUAACGCAUUAAGCACUCCGCCUGGGGAGUACGACCGCAAGGUUG
Molecule: ribosomal RNA, 550 nt
Filed under: uncultured bacterium
Lineage: Bacteria
Description: bacterial SSU rRNA
Rfam family: Bacterial small subunit ribosomal RNA
Source: RNAcentral